This is a long non-coding RNA of Sesamum indicum (sesame), 746 nucleotides long. RefSeq lists it as uncharacterized. The record is from RefSeq and is a predicted model, not a curated record. NCBI's taxonomy places the organism in Eukaryota, Viridiplantae, Streptophyta, Magnoliopsida, Lamiales, Pedaliaceae.
CACUCCAACGGUAAAGACUAGAAAUACAGAUGUCCUCCCCACGGGUGAAAACCCUCGAAAUCACCUCUCUUCUUCUUCCUCUUCCUCUCACCUUCAUUUCGCUUCUCUUCACGCCCAAAAAUUACAGAAGAAACUCUCAAAACAUCGCCAGAUCUGCGAAGAGGGAGUGAAGGAGAAGGGGAUCAAUCUGAAGGGUUCUUGUAGCCUCGAUGAAGGAGAGACGGUAGAGCACCUGCAGGAUGGCCGCGAACGUGAGGAGGAGCAGUUGGACUUGGAAAUGAAAGGAAAUAGUGAAGGUGUGAUAAAAAAGAUUGUUGCAGAAGGCAAUUCUCGAGAAGCAAAGCCAUAUGCUCAUUGGGAGACAUGAUAUUGAUAAUCUGUUGCGACUUGAUCUAGCCAGUGAAUGUUUACCGAAUGCACUAGAUCAAAGAAUCAGAGAAGACAUUGGUUCUGAUUCUGAGUCCUCUGGAGUAGAAAUGGAAUUAAGUAAGAUACUACUGGAUUUGAGGCCUAUCAGACCGGUAAACAUGCCCUUAUCGGGUAUUAUCACUAUAUCUAAAUGCAUAAUGAAACGUUCAUUCACAGACUCAAUAGAAAGGCAAGUAGUCCUAUCUUGUUAAGUUUGUGAUCUUCAUCAGCUUUUGGUGCCCGUGGACAGAUUUCAUUACUUCCGCAGCAUUUAAAUAGUUUGGUAGGUAGGGAUGGAAACUAUGUGCUAUGCUAUAUGAGAAUACAUUAGUUGUCUU